This 2279-nucleotide long non-coding RNA is filed under the name Apteryx rowi (Okarito brown kiwi). RNAcentral describes it as "lncRNA (ENSARWG00000001079.1)". Lineage: Eukaryota; Metazoa; Chordata; Aves; Apterygiformes; Apterygidae. The record is from RNAcentral.
CUUUGCAACAGUUUAUUAAUUAUUAAUUAUUUUUUAUAGUUUAUUAAUGCUAGGGAAUGUCUGGGAUGUGACAAUUCUGUAUAUUUACUACACUGUUUGGAAAAGCAUCUUACAUGCUGCAGAUAAUGUCACUCUGUAGCUAGGCUUUCUAAUAACAGUUUUGCUUUGCAAAGAUAUAUGAGAACUAUAAACAAUGAAAAUAUCUGGCGGCUCAUCUUUUAUUAUUUUUCCUUCAUAGCAAAGCAAACUCAAGCAUAUGACUCAAUAAAAAUGGGGAGCAGAAUACAGAAGGCUCUUAUGAAUCAAAUUAAUAAAUACAUGUAAAUCUAUGACUGCAUUAUUAUGCUGGUCUAUGUAGACUUCUUUGGUUCAGUUAAGAUGCUGCCAGGUUACUUGUUUGUAUCUGCACCAGGGAAUCACCCACCAGGAGACAGGAUUGAUUUGCUUGGGUAAGUGUUGUGAUCUAAACGUAAGGCUCCUUCUCCUAGGGAAUGGGCACAACCAGGAAGGGGCGGCUACGGCACAAGCAUGGAGAACAGAGAUUUCUGCUCCCGCUGCCGAGGAGGAGGGGGAAAGGGAUGAAGCCAGCUCUGGGGGUGCCGGUGACGGCCUCCCACCCCUCACUUCUCCCCCGGCGACAGGCGCAGAGGGCUGCAGGAUCCGGGAGCAGGGCCGGGCUCUUCCCGGCCCUCCCCACAGCUGAUUCCCACCAGCCCAGCGCAAGGAGAUGUGCCCUCCGCAGCCUGCCGGCCCAGGCUGCUGCCUCCGUUGCCUGGGCUUUGGACCAGCUCUGUUCUCAGUUCCAUCUCGAAAUAUUAUAUUCAGAAUUACAUAACUGAAUUCACGUCUAAUUUAGCCUAACCUCAUCAAUGAUUAAAUAAUUAAACUUAUUACUGCUCUUCGUUCUAAUCCAGGAGGCAUCAUAAUGAAAUAGUGCAUCUGGCAGAAACAGAAACAGUAGAGCAAUUCGAGACAGAGGUCCAGAGGAAGGACGAAAACCGAACAAUGGAGUUUAAUGAGCAUCUCUGUCACCACUUCAAAGAGCUCCAUUGUUUCAGGCUUCUCAGUUCUCUCUACAUCUUGCAGACAAGAUCAUUAUUAUCAGCUACCAAAUGCUGUUUUUAAGUUUAAAGUGAAAAUCAGUGCAAACAUGACUAGAGAAGCUGAGGCGCAGCGAUUCGCACCGCUCGCUGGGGUUGCUGAAGAGGUGGUUCUCUCACGCUGGCUCCGGGAACCUUCCCGUCUGCGGGAUAAAAGCAGGCCUGAGGCUCUGCACUGUAGGUGGGUUGGGGCCUGAAAGGUGGCCUUUCCUCCCAAACUCAUCCGAGAUACCACAAAGUCAAUGGAAAGACUUUCAAGAGGCAUCAGACCACCCUUAGGUUGCUGCAAGCGGGAGGAGUGCGGGAGCUGCGCUGGUGUAAUCAAGACUGUUCGGUGAUAAGGAAUUACCAGGGAAAACACUUUACCUUCUGACAAUGCUUUUCUCCUUUUUCUGCCAGAGCCUGGACUUUCUUGGCACACUGUAACACUCAUAUUUUCUCUCAGGCAUUUUGGAGAGUUGGUCAUUUAAGGACAAGGAGGAAGAAUCAGUAAUGUGUUACCUUAGGAAGGUUUUGAAGUUCAUUUUCACUUAAAACCUGCCAGUAGUCCAACCAAAUGUAAGAAAACUUUCAUUAAAAUAUUGCCAAAAGGCAAUUCAUUGUUUUGAAAGAACAUAUCCACAUUAAGAAAUUAUAUACAUAUGUGUUACUGAAAUCUCUACAUGGAAACUUAAAACUAACCUGCCUUUUCAGAUUUUCUAGAAAUCUGGAGACGGUUGAAUUAAAAUCUCUGGACCUAGAUCUCUCUUUAAAGCUGCCAGUCUGGGUUGCAUCCAAACUACAGGCUCUCACCACCAGCUAUGAUUAGAGGCAGCCGAGGCAACUAAUAUUAUUUGAGUAGUUGGCAUCAACAAAACCAUAACCUUCUCCUUGAGUUUGUAGUAAUGCCAUCUAAAACUAGUAGAGAUCUUAAACUAUAUCCUCUACCACACCUGUUUUUUUGGUUCAGUUUUAUCCUAUUAUUUACCAUAGUCACAUAGUAUAAUUAGCUGAUCUAUAAUUUAUGCUGUUAUUCAGAGCAGUAUAAAUAGUUUACUUUAUUCUUGCAAGAGCACAGUAUGUCCAGAAAACACCAAUAUUUUAUUUAUCUCUGUUUAUGCAUGUAUUUGUUUAUCUAUGUGCUUAUUAAGUAUAGAAUUAUUAUAAUAGCUAAAAAUAAAUACUAACCAAAAAGACGCA